Non-coding RNA from Paralichthys olivaceus (Japanese flounder), 5310 nucleotides. The record is from RefSeq and is a predicted model, not a curated record. NCBI's taxonomy places the organism in Eukaryota, Metazoa, Chordata, Actinopteri, Pleuronectiformes, Paralichthyidae.
GAUCGAGCUCGCCAUCCUCCGCUUCCCGUACGACUCGUGGGGCACGCCCUUCCAGCAGCUGAAGCAGGUGGUGGAAGAACCUUCGCCCCAGCUUCCUGUCGACCAGUUCUCCCCAGAGUUUGUGGACUUCACCUCUCAGUGCUUAAAGAAAGUUUCCAAGGAGAGGCCGACGUACACAGAACUCAUGCAACAUCCCUUCUUCACCUCCCACGAGGCCAAAGAAACCGACGUGGCUUCCUUUGUCAAAGUCAUCCUGGGGGACUGAGUCGGCCUCGUGCUCUGGAUCUGAGGGAGGGUCUGUUCUUAAAAGAAGCACCAAUCGCAGCCCCUGUUACCUGCAGGACCCCGCCCACCUCACACCUUACACCUCGCCAUUGUUCCCCCCCCCCCCACUGAUACACGGACAGAUGCUGAUGAAGCAGAACGAGGAGUUUGUCCCCGACCCUCCACCUCCACAUCCUGACAUGUGAGGGUGGGGGGUGCAGGCUGUCACACGUAAUCUGGACUCAUUUAAAAUGUCUGUAUGCAAACGCUCCCUCUGUGGUUAGAUUAGUCCCGCCUCUGCCGCCUAUUGCUCGUCAGCAGGUCGACUGUGAUUCGUCAAACAAGCGAGUCGGUGAAGAGCGGAGCAGAUUAUAUAAAAAAAGAUGAAUGUUAUAAUCUAUCUAUGUAUAAUCUAAAUGUUUGUAUACUCAAAGCAAGUGUUGCAUCGGUUUAUUAAUUGACUGCAUGUACAGAAUUAUCUCCAGAUGUUCCAGAGAGAACAGCUGCAGAGCCUCACAUCAGGGCCCUCCCGGUGGCCACUCAUAGGUACUGCACGUCCACUGAUUUCUCUUGAUUACAGCAGAGGUUGACUAAACGUCCUGGGGCUCUGGCUGCCUGUGUGUGUGAGUGUGAGUGUGUGUGUGUGUGUGUGUGUGUGUGUGUGUGUGAGUGUGUGUGUGUGUGUGUGUGUGUGUGUGUAGAGCUGCAUCAUUCUGGAUAAAAGUGAUUAUUUGACGAACAGGUUUGUUUUGAAUGGAUUUCCGUCUCGUGCAGUCGAGCAGCAGGUUUACGUCCUUGGAACCUUCGUAAUUGUCCAAUCACAAAAAAACACGAAUCCAAAAAGAAUGUGAUCAUUUUUUUCUGUGACGAUAAAAUAUUUGUCAGAAUUUACGUUGCGUAAUAUUUAUUUAAUUCUGACAAAUCCUGGAUUUUAUUCAGCUCUAGUUUUUUUUGUCACCACAUUGGGGCCGACACAAAUUCAAUUUUUAGAUAGAAAUUGAUUUGAACUUUGACAUUUAAAUAGUUAUAUAUCUGUUUUAUUAUAAAGCUUAUCAUACGUAUAUUUGACACUCAUGCCCCCUGCUGGUGGAGGUAAACUGAAGGGAAAACGAGAGGCUCGUACUUUUAUCUGCUGACGUCACAAAUCCAGAUUCUGCAGAGAAACAGGAAACAACUUGAUUUUAAAUCCAGAGCGUCGUGCAGCUCUAUGUGACACACACAUGUUAAAUUGAGCUUUGUGUGUUUGUGUGCGUGUGUGUUGACAUUGUGGUCAGUUGUUGGAGAAGAAUUUUCUCCUCGUCGUCUGUACUGAGCCAAUCACAACCAUCUCCACUCCUUGUUCAACAUGAAAAGAACUGGAUAUUAUUACUAUUAUUAUUAAUAUUAUAUUAAUUAUUGUUGUUGUUAUUAUUUAGGUCCAGGUUUUUUUCCCCUCACACGUAUUUACUGCAGUUUCUCUUAUUUAUUACAUCUGCUGUUUUCCCUCUGAAGACUUGACGGAUCCAUUAGAGACGUUUCUCGUGUGUUCACGUGGCCUGUGUUUGUUUUAUUUUGUCGUGUUCUUCUUGGCUCAACAACGCUUUGAAACUGUAACUUGCAAGCCUUCUAUGUGCCUCUCUAUAGAAAACGACUGAGGAAAAGAUGUUGUACUGGGAUGAUGCAGGGACGUCCGCCUGUCAUGUCACCCUCCUCCCCCCUCGCACUCUGCAUGGUUCUACUUCCUGUUUGUGCUGAUGGUCAUUCUCUCUCUUCUACGUGUUUGUGCUCAUCUCUGCUCUCACGGCCGGUUAGCGAGCUGCUCACAGACGAGCUGCUCACAGACGAGCUGCUCACUGACGAGCUGCUCACUGACGAGCUGCUCACUGACGAGCUCGAAUGACAAAAUGGGAAUCGUGGAGCACGUGGCUGGACGACGUCAGGGUGUUGUUGUCGCAGUCGGAGAAUCUACGUCAUCUUCUCGCCUGUUAAUAUUUUGUUACUGGGUUUGUGUCCGUCCUCGCUGAGUUCUCGUCCCUUUAGCUUUUGAGCGAUUGAAUCUUAGAUGUACAAUCUACGAAGAGAAGGAUCCUGUGACAUGAAUGCAGGUUAAAUUACCGUAAUACUUAUAACACAAUGAUGUCAACUGUUUUAAAGUUAGCAGCUUUAAAUUUGAGCAGGGUGUUUAAAGGUGUAUUUUUAUUUGUUUUGGCCACAUGGGGGCAGCAGAACCAAUUGUAACACAUCAAACUUUUCACAAUGUUCAAAGAUGAGACGUCUCAAAAUGUCCGUCCGUGAUCUCCACAGCUUAUUCUCUGCAGGGUCUCUGGUGGGGACUGGUUGGAGACAUUAGAGCGAGGGGUGGGGGGGGGCUCUGGACAAAUAUGCAAAUACACCUGUAAUGUGUAGAACCAGAACCAGAACCAGCUCGUACACUUUAUCUUCAGUACAUCCGGUGGUUUCUUUAUUUUUCUGACGAGCUUCACUCCGUCUUGGUUUUUAUUCUCCGCUUCACGCUGCUCAUUUCACCACCGUCCCGUCUCCUCUGGUGGCGAAGCUGCGUCAGAGGUUCGAUUUCUGUCUCUCAGACAAACCUCAGUGUCAGUCACCGCGCCGAGGACGCCAGGGCUCCGUCAUCAGAACAUUACUGUGCCAAAGAUGGCAGCAAACGCCUUCCGUGUUUCAUGUCAUGAGGAUAUUAGCACAAUUCAAGUCUUAUUUCUAGAUUCAGACCGGCCUGAACACGAGGUCUGUCAGGAUCUGCCAUCUUGUUUUCUAACCCUCGGAGCCCUGGUGAGGGCGCUGUACCAGAAUCCUCCUUGUUCGUCACACAACCGGCGUCGUGUGACCAAAGAGACGCAGCAGAGAGUCGAGGGCUGAGGGGACGGGGGAGUCUUUGAGGAGACCCCCCUUGCUCCGUGAGAGAACUCAUCCGGACACUCUGACAUCCCACCUGUAGAAACUAACAAGCUGCCCCUCCCCCUCCCCCAGGUCGCAGUGAUUCAGGCGUGUGCAGUUUCUGUGGGCGUUAAAGUGCCUGAUGAUGCUUUCCUGUGACGAACACGUGAACUUUUAAACUCUUCUCCGUCAUCGUGAUUGAUGCUUAAACACUGUUUUUGUCCUGUGGUUCCUCUCGGGGACUCGCUGCGUGUUGCUGGGAUGUUUUGCACUGUACCGAGGAGCCGCAUCGCACAGCGGCAGGUUACGAGUGUGUCGCUGGAGGAAAACGCUCAGCCUGAAGGUUUGCAGCCCACGUGGAUGUCGUGUCACUCUGAGACAUCUCGUGGUUUUUCUGAGAGUCGUAAAGUUCUGACUUUUUUAAAAAUGAAGCUGUGAUUCUGUAAAUUCUCAAACAGCAGCUGAAGUUUCUUCUCUCCCCGACGACACCAGGCUUUUCUUUAAAAACUCUAUUUAUUGUUUGUCGAUGUUGUUUUGUUGUGAAAACGUUUCAGGGCCAGUCUCCGUUAACAUCCCCUGAAAACUUUACCUGCAGCUCUGCCAUGUGCACACACCUGCUGGCAGAAAUGUUGCUCAGUAGCACCUCCGGUGGUCAAAAACUCAAAAGUAAAGCAGGAGCCACAAAAUAUCCUGAUGUUUAUCAUAGAUCCAGAUUCUGAUGAUGACAAUUUAUUUUCUGUUUACAAAGUUUAAAUAUAUAUUUUUGAUCAAUAUCUUAAUGAUUAUUUCCAGCAAUAGUAAUUUUAUUAUAUAAAUUGUACUUCUGGCUGUUUAAACAUUUUUCGUUUGCUUUCAUUUUUGAAUUUCUACGUCAAAGAUUUAUUUUAAGGGGACAAACGAGAUGUCGGAGCUUCUGUGAGAAAAUCAAACGUGUGAUGAUGAGGCAACAAAGAAAUAAAAGAUAAACUCGAUGAAGCUGUUUUGCUUUAUUUUCAGUUUAUUUAUAUAUUAGUUUAGUUUCUUUUGAGUUUAUUUGCAGCAGUUUUUCAAAGGAGCAGUUUGACAGAUAUCAUGUGAAACCACAGAAAAUAUGAUUAGAGUAGAUGAAUCUGCUGUCAGAGACUAUAAAGACGUGCAUGGGUCUUUGAUUAGUGUGAACAUUUAGUUUCUCCUUCGUUUUAUUCUGUUGUUUGAGAAUUUACAGCGUCCACGCGUCGCGUCAUCGUAUCUGGUGGAGAAGAUGUUUGUUCUUUGAAGGUAAAAAAUGAUGAUGUCGUGAAAUUUCUUUACUGAUUCAGAGUUGAUCAAAUGUAAACGUCCGAGCUGCUCUCAGAACCUCGUAACUCAAUAACUGGUUUGCUCGAUCUGUAAUCGGCGGUAAUGAGAAACGAGUUGAGUCCAAUCACGCGUCACAUGGUGUGGUCCUGUGUGUGUGUGUGUGUGUGUGUGUGUGUUGAUUCCCGUCCACCGCUCUUUUUGUGGCUUGCUCUCUCACCUGCUGAUUAAACCUCGGUCACUGGGGGCAGGACGUCCGAGUGGAUGUGAUCAUUGUCAGUCUGAGCUGAUGUGAGCGUGCAGCAGCCGGCACGUAUCUCUGGAUGAGUUCUCCAGCAGACGAGCGGCUCAGACUGGCUCGGAGAGAAUCAGAGGAAACUUUGCUCACCUUCCUCAUCCUCACAUUUGAAGCAGGAGAUGAAUCAAAAAUCCGAGUUAGAGGGAAACUUCCAGAUUCCUGUUUACAGAUGAAGCUCUGGAGUGUAAAUCUGUCGUUCGUGCGUGAACCGUGCUGAGGUUUCCUUUGUUCUUAUUGCACAUGUGAUUCAUGGAGCUGUAUGUGACCUCUGACCUUCUGCGCUGUUGUGUUCUUCUUGAAUUCGGGGGUGGGGGAAGUGUCCGGGCCGGUUCUUCAGAGUGAGACGUAUCCAGAGAUGCCACUGUACGUGGAUGAGGGUCUUUCUUUGCUGUCGAGUGGGCGUGUGGGGAGGGUCGUCACGGCUACAGCUCCUCGCCCCAUGGGAAGUGAAGUUCUCAGUAUAUUUACGUGUCUCUAAAGCCUCUGCUAUAAAGACUGAUGACUGUUCAUUUAGAAUUUCUAUAAAUAUUUUAGAUUGCUCAAACUGAUUGUGUGCAAUUGUAAUGAUGGAAAUUCAAUAAAAAGGUAUUUUUACACAA